Molecule: microRNA precursor, 116 nt
Organism: Medicago truncatula (barrel medic)
Lineage: Eukaryota; Viridiplantae; Streptophyta; Magnoliopsida; Fabales; Fabaceae
Rfam family: MIR2593 microRNA precursor family
Source: Rfam
AUAUAAGUAAAAAAAUUCCAUUUUAAGUUCAUUCAUUUAAUGAUGCACAUGGUCUUUAUUAUAAACCACAUACAUCAUUAAAUGAAUGAAUCUAAAAUGUAAUUUUUUGCUUAUAU